This 261-nucleotide ribosomal RNA is filed under the name uncultured bacterium. RNAcentral describes it as "partial 16S ribosomal RNA". It matches the Rfam family "Bacterial small subunit ribosomal RNA", at positions 92 to 354 of the family's 1533-position model. The record is from RNAcentral.
UUAGUGGCGGACGGGUGAGUAACGCGUGGGUAACCUGCCUUACACAGGGGAUAACACUUAGAAAUAGGUGCUAAAACCGCAUAAGCGCACAGCUUCGCAUGAAGCGGUGUGAAAAACUCCGGUGGUGUAAGAUGGACCCGCGUCUGAUUAGCUUGUUGGCGGGGUAACGGCCCACCAAGGCGACGAUCAGUAGCCGGCCUGAGAGGGCGGACGGCCACAUUGGGACUGAGACACGGCCCAGACUCCUACGGGAGGCAGCAG